This 254-nucleotide ribosomal RNA is filed under the name uncultured bacterium. RNAcentral's name for it is "partial 16S ribosomal RNA". It matches the Rfam family "Bacterial small subunit ribosomal RNA", at positions 524 to 776 of the family's 1533-position model. The record is from RNAcentral.
UACGGGGGGGGCAAGCGUUGUUCGGAAUUACUGGGCGUAAAGGGCGCGUAGGCGGUCAGCACAAGUCAGUUGUGAAAUCUCCGAGCUUAACUCGGAAAGGUCAACUGAUACUGUGCGACUAGAGUGCGGAAGGGGCAACUGGAAUUCUUGGUGUAGCGGUGAAAUGCGUAGAUAUCAAGAGGAACACCUGCGGCGAAGGCGGGUUGCUGGGCCGACACUGACGCUGAAGCGCGAAAGCCAGGGGAGCGAACGGG